This 400-nucleotide ribosomal RNA is filed under the name uncultured bacterium. RNAcentral's name for it is "bacterial SSU rRNA". It matches the Rfam family "Bacterial small subunit ribosomal RNA", at positions 359 to 776 of the family's 1533-position model. The record is from RNAcentral.
GAAUAUUGGACAAUGGGCGAAAGCCUGAUCCAGCAAUGCCGCGUGAGUGAUGAAGGCCUUCGGGUUGUAAAGCUCUUUUACCCGGGAUGAUAAUGAAAGUACCGGGAGAAUAAGCACAGGCUAACCCCGUGCCAGCCGCCGCGGUAAUACGGAGGGGGCUAGCGUGGUUCGGAAUUACUGGGCGUAAAGCGCACGUAGGCGGCUUUGUAAGUUAGAGGUGAAAGCCCGGGGCUCAACUCCGGAAUUGCCUUUAAGACUGCAUCGCUUGAACAUCGGAGAGGUAAGUGGAAUUCCGAGUGUAGAGGUGAAAUUCGUAGAUAUUCGGAAGAACACCAGUGGCGAAGGCGACUUACUGGACGAUUGUUGACGCUGAGGUGCGAAAGCGUGGGGAGCAAACAGG